Molecule: long non-coding RNA, 495 nt
Organism: Leopardus geoffroyi (Geoffroy's cat)
Lineage: Eukaryota; Metazoa; Chordata; Mammalia; Carnivora; Felidae
Exons: 2
Source: RefSeq, a predicted model, not a curated record
AGGAAAAGUGGAGUAACAUCUUUGGCAAUCCAAUAUCUACUCAGGGUGCGUUAUGCAUUGAAAUGUGUCCUUCAUAAUUCUUAUGUUGAAGCCCUUACACUCAGUACUUCAGAAUGUGUACUUACUUGGAAAUUAUGUUGUUGCCAAUGCAAUUAGUUAAGAUGAGGUCAUAAUGGAGUGGGAUGGGUCUCUAAUCUGAUAUGACUGGUGUCCUUAUAGGUAGGUAAAAUGGGUGCACAGAGACACUCACACAGGGAGAAUGCCAUGUGAAGACUGGAGUUAAAAUGGUCACUAGCCAAGGAACUAUGGGAAGCUUAGAGAGGUCUGGAACUGAUCCUUCCCUAGCACUUUCAAAGAGAUCAUGGCCUGCCAACACCCUGAUGCCAGACUGCUAGCUCCAGAACUCUUGAAGAUAUUAUGCAAAAGAGAAGGAAAGGGAAGAGAAGAACAAAAGGGAUAGGAAAUAAAGAAAAUGGCAACAUUGGUUAAAACUGA